AACGCACCUUGCGCUUCUUGGUAUUCCGAGAAGCAUGCCUGUUUGAGUGUUAUGAUAUUUCUUAACAAUAAUUCCGACUUUUCGGAAUUUUAUAGUUAGAUGUGGGGGUAAAGUAAGCUUGCUAGUAAUUUACUAUAAAUGCUAGCUCCCCUUAAAAAUAUCAGCAUAGAAACUAACUAUAUUGUUUUCUCAGUAUAAUAACUAUUUAUACUGUGAUACAUUUAUUAGUGUUAUUAAUGCUUUUAAAAUAAACUCUUUAAUUUUAUGUCUGACCUCAAAUCAGGUAGGAUUACCCGCUGAACUUAA
RNAcentral lists this unclassified non-coding RNA (306 nucleotides) under uncultured fungus. RNAcentral describes it as "partial contains 5.8S ribosomal RNA, internal transcribed spacer 2, and large subunit ribosomal RNA". The stretch from base 1 to 52 matches the Rfam family "5.8S ribosomal RNA", at positions 103 to 154 of the family's 154-position model. The record is from RNAcentral. Lineage: Eukaryota; Fungi.